RNAcentral lists this ribosomal RNA (253 nucleotides) under uncultured bacterium. Its description in RNAcentral is "partial 16S ribosomal RNA". It matches the Rfam family "Bacterial small subunit ribosomal RNA", at positions 524 to 776 of the family's 1533-position model. The record is from RNAcentral.
GACGAAGGUGGCAACCGUUGUUCGGAAUCACUGGGCAUAAAGCGCACGUAGGCGGGAGUGCAAGUCGGGUGUGAAAUCCCUCGGCCCAACCGAGGAACUGCGCCCGAAACUGCACUUCUUGAGGACAGCAGGGGAGCAUGGAAUUCCUGGUGGAGCGGUGAAAUGCGUUGAUAUCAGGAGGAACACCGGCGGCGAAGGCGAUGCUCUGGGCUGUUUCUGACGCUGAGGUGCGAAAGCCAGGGGAGCAAACGGG